GACGAACGCUGGCGGCGUGCUUAACACAUGCAAGUCGAACGGAAAGGCCCUGCUUUUGUUGGGUGCUCGAGUGGCGAACGGGUGAGUAACACGUGAGUAACCUGCCCUUGACUUUGGGAUAACUUCAGGUAACUGGGGCUAAUACCGGAUAGGAGUUCCUGCUGCAUGGUGGGGGUUGGAAAGUUUCGGCGGUUGGGGAUGGACUCGCGGCUUAUCAGCUUGUUGGGGGGGUAGUGGCUUACCAAGGCUUUGACGGGUAGCCGGCCUGAGAGGGUGACCGGCCACAUUGGGACUGAGAUACGGCCCAGACUCCUACGGGAGGCAGCAGUGGGGAAUAUUGCACAAUGGGCGGAAGCCUGAGGCAGCAACGCCGCGUGCGGGAUGACGGCCUUCGGGUUUUAAACCGCUUUCGCCUGUGACGAAGCGUGAGUGACGGUAAUGGGUAAAGAAGCACCGGCUAACUACGUG
RNAcentral lists this ribosomal RNA (468 nucleotides) under uncultured bacterium. RNAcentral describes it as "partial 16S ribosomal RNA". It matches the Rfam family "Bacterial small subunit ribosomal RNA", at positions 28 to 507 of the family's 1533-position model. The record is from RNAcentral.